UAGGGAAUAUUGCACAAUGGGCGCAAGCCUGAUGCAGCGACGCCGCGUGAGUGAUGAAGGCCUUCGGGUCGUAAAGCUCUGUUGUACGGGAAGAAAAAACUAUGGCUAAUAUCCAUAGUCUUGACGGUACCGUAUCAGAAAGGACCGGCUAACUUCGUGCCAGCAGCCGCGGUAAGACGAGGGGUCCUAGCGUUGUUCGGAAUCACUGGGCGUAAAGCGUAUGUAGGCGGGCUUUUAAGUCGGGUGUGAAAUCCCACGGCUCAACCGUGGAAUUGCAUUCGAAACUGGAAGUCUUGAGUGUGGGAGAGAUUGGUAGAAUACCUAGUGUAGUGGUGAAAUACGUAGAUAUUAGGUGGAAUACCGGUGGCGAAGGCGGCCAAUUGGCCCAACACUGACGCUGAGAUACGAAAGCGUGGGGAUCAAACAG
This 427-nucleotide ribosomal RNA is filed under the name uncultured bacterium. RNAcentral's name for it is "bacterial SSU rRNA". It matches the Rfam family "Bacterial small subunit ribosomal RNA", at positions 355 to 775 of the family's 1533-position model. The record is from RNAcentral.